CAGUCGCCGCGGUAAUACGGAGGGAGCUAGCGUUGUUCGGAAUUACCGGGCGUAAAGCGCACGUAGGCGGCUUGGUAAGUUAGAGGUGAAAGCCUGGAGCUCAACUCCAGAAUUGCCUUUAAGACUGCCGAGCUAGCAGGUGAGAGAGGUAAGUGGAAUUCCGAGUGUAGAGGUGAAAUUCGUAGAUAUUCGGAAGAACACCAGUGGCGAAGGCGGCUUACUGGCUCAUACUGGACGUUGAGGUGCGAAAGCGUGGGGAGCAAACAGGAUUAGAUACCCGCGUAGUCCCUGUCUCUUAUAC
Molecule: ribosomal RNA, 301 nt
Filed under: uncultured bacterium
Lineage: Bacteria
Description: partial 16S ribosomal RNA
Rfam family: Bacterial small subunit ribosomal RNA
Source: RNAcentral